This 253-nucleotide ribosomal RNA is filed under the name uncultured bacterium. RNAcentral's name for it is "partial 16S ribosomal RNA". It matches the Rfam family "Bacterial small subunit ribosomal RNA", at positions 524 to 776 of the family's 1533-position model. The record is from RNAcentral.
GACGGAGGGUGCUAGCGUUGUUCGGAAUGACUGGGCGUAAAGGGCGCGUAGGCGGCCGCUUGCGUCGGAUGUGAAAGCCCGGGGCUCAACCCCGGAACGGCAUCCGAUACGGGGCGGCUCGAGUCCGAGAGAGGUGAGUGGAAUACCCAGUGUAGAGGUGAAAUUCGUAGAUAUUGGGUGGAACACCGGUGGCGAAAGCGGCUCACUGGCUCGGUUCUGACGCUGAGGCGCGAAAGCGUGGGGAGCAAACAGG